Molecule: long non-coding RNA, 559 nt
Organism: Drosophila mojavensis
Lineage: Eukaryota; Metazoa; Arthropoda; Insecta; Diptera; Drosophilidae
Exons: 2
Source: RefSeq, a predicted model, not a curated record
AUGAAAAUUAUUUAAGAGUCACAACAACAAAAAGUCGCAUGGAUCAGCUCCGUAUGCUAGCAAAUAUCUAUUGAUAUUGGCAUAUUCCAGAUGCCCAGUCGCUGGCUAAGCGAACAGUUUCAACAUUUAUUGUGAUUGUGAAAGCCGUUGAAAGAAAUCGAGUUGUUUUUUUUCUGCAAUUUUUUUGGUGGAUUUUUUUUUCAAAGAACGAAAGAGAAAGAGUGUUUCUCAGAGAGAAAGAGAGAGAGAUAUAUAUAAAAACUCAUACUCAAGAAAUAAGUGAAUGUUAAAUAAGUGCUAGAACUAAGUGUGAGUGCAUGUGAAGAAGAGGAAGAGUAACGGAAAAGGGGUCGUCGGGAAGCUGGCCAGCUAGUGCAGCACUGUGCAGGGCGCGAAAUGAUGCCGCAAUAUCGACUUGACCUGCACACUGACGUCAGCCGAGCAACACCCAGCCACGCCUGCCCACCACUGCCAUACAACACAACCUCUGCCUCAGCCACAGCCAUAGCCACAGCCACAGCCUCAGCGUCAGCCGCAGCAACUGCAACAGCAACAGCAA